This 73-nucleotide transfer RNA is filed under the name Microcaldota archaeon. RNAcentral's name for it is "tRNA-Gly". It matches the Rfam family "tRNA". Rfam says of the family: Transfer RNA (tRNA) molecules are approximately 80 nucleotides in length. Their secondary structure includes four short double-helical elements and three loops (D, anti-codon, and T loops). Lineage: Archaea; Nanobdellati; Microcaldota. The record is from RNAcentral.
GCGAGUAUAGUCUAGCCUGGUAGGACGCUGCCUUGCCAAGGCAGUGACCCGGGUUCAAAUCCCGGUGCUCGCA